GAUGAAGAACGCAGUGAAAUGCGAUAAGUAAUGUGAAUUGCAGAAUUCAGUGAAUCAUCGAAUCUUUGAACGCAUCUUGCGCUCCUUGGUAUUCUGAGGAGCAUGCCUGUUUGAGUGUCAUCAAAUUCUCAACCACUUCUUUUGAUGUGGCUUUGGAUAUGGGGGGAUUUCUUUUUUGCAGGCUUCUGAAAAACAAAGUCGGCUCCCCUGAAAUGUAUUAGUGGUGUCUGAGUAGGAGACUACUAUGGGUGUGAUAAAUCUAUCUAUGCCUUGGUACAACUGCUAUGCCGCUUCUAGCGAGUGCAUUUGACAAAUUUGACCUCAAAUCAGGUAGGACUACCCGCUGAACUUAAGCAUAUCAAUAAGCGGAGGA
RNAcentral lists this unclassified non-coding RNA (373 nucleotides) under soil metagenome. Its description in RNAcentral is "partial contains 5.8S ribosomal RNA, internal transcribed spacer 2, and large subunit ribosomal RNA". The stretch from base 1 to 120 matches the Rfam family "5.8S ribosomal RNA", at positions 35 to 154 of the family's 154-position model. The record is from RNAcentral.